Molecule: long non-coding RNA, 1357 nt
Filed under: Marmota monax (woodchuck)
Lineage: Eukaryota; Metazoa; Chordata; Mammalia; Rodentia; Sciuridae
Source: RNAcentral
GGAUUCGAACCCAGGGCCCUCUCACGUCCUAGGCGAGCGCUCUACCGCUGAGCCUCAACCCCAGCCCCGGCUCUUGCCUUUUUAUCCUUCAAAACCCUUUUCCGUGAGGUUCGCCAUAUACUUGCCAGACAUAGCCACUGUGUGGGUUUUUUGUUUUUGUUUUUUUUUCUUUUUCCAUAUCGUGAGCAUGCUACCAUGAAUCUCUUUGGGAUAGGAAAUUUGAAUUCUUACCAUUUUUUUUUCACAAUCGCACACGAGGCUGAGAUGACAAAAAAAAACCCUGUUCAUUUUUCUGCACACCCUCGAGUAAAUCCAUAUUCCUGGGCACGGGGAGCUGUUCUGUCAGUUGGUAGAUGGGGUCCCGUGGACGCUGUCACCCACAGGACUCUUCCCCACACCCCUGGCAAUUCUGGUGCCCACCUGGUGGGGUACAGAGCAGUGUGCCUGGACAUUUUGUGUCCUGCUCCUUUCCUCCAAGACUUGGUGGAUCCCAUCCUUGAUGAUUAAAUAAGAAGCCCCCCCCGGCAAGAUGCAGGCCCCUCCACCCUGGACUUCCCAACCUCCGGGACUAGAAGAAAUCAAUCUUUUUUUUUCUUUAUAAAGUAUCCAGCCUCGGGUGUUCUGUUAUAGCCCACCAAUCUGUCUAAGGCACUGGUCCUUCUUAGGAGCCACCGGCUCACCUGCCUUUCACCACUCUUGGCACUGCCUGGCCCGAUCCCAGGGUCCGGGUCUCGUCCAGUUAGUUAUCCAGAUAAUUCUAGAGAGAUCCAGAAUGAUCUAUGGCUUUCCUCCAGUUCUGUUCCUGUUGAUGUCUCCUUCCUGCCCUCUCAGACCAAACUCCCCCGUGUCUGUCCCCACUGUGACCCCAGCCAACGGCAGCUUCCCAGUGGUCCAUUCACUGCUCACUACUGAGCCCUGGCAGCAGGACAUCCACCUGCAGGCCAGACUCAACACAAGCCACCAGGGCCCAGGGAGUCCAGAGAAGCACAGAAUCAGCCACAGGGGACCGUGUGGUUCUUUCAUAAACCACAGGCUAUUAGGAGAAAGCUCUCCCUGCCUCCGGGCUGGCUGCAGGGGACGCAGAGGGAGCGAAUGGCCUCAAAAAUUUUCCCAUCUCCUCUCCAGUUGGCUCAAGUCUCCGCGCCGCCCGUGUGAAUGCCCACUGUGUUUGGGAGUCCACUCCCGGGGGGCAGUCUGCGGGAAGCAUCUACUAGGUGUGGGGCACCCUCGUAGGUGGUGGGGAACGCAGGCUCAGGCCAAAGGGCCAGUUUGGAGACAGACGAGCUGGCGUUUAGAGAAAUGCAAGGAAUGAGCUGGGCGAAGUGUAAUCCCGGCGGCUCGGGGAGGCUGGGGUAGG